CCUACGGGAGGCUGCAGUGGGGAAUAUUGGACAAUGGGGGCAACCCUGAUCCAGCCAUGCCGCGUGUGUGAAGAAGGCCCUCGGGUUGUAAAGCACUUUCAGUGAGGAAGAACGCCUGGUGGUUAAUACCCAUCAGGAAAGACAUCACUCACAGAAGAAGCACCGGCUAACUCCGUGCCAGCAGCCGCGGUAAUACGGAGGGUGCGAGCGUUAAACGGAAUUACUGGGCGUAAAGCGCGCGUAGGUGGCUUGAUAAGCCGGUUGUGAAAGCCCCGGGCUCAACCUGGGAACGGCAUCCGGAACUGUCAAGCUAGAGUGCAGGAGAGGAAGGUAGAAUUCCCGGUGUAGCGGUGAAAUGCGUAGAGAUCGGGAGGAAUACCAGUGGCGAAGGCGGCCUUCUGGACUGACACUGACACUGAGGUGCGAAAGCGUGGGUAGCAAACAGGAUUAGAUACCCGUGUAGUC
This 465-nucleotide ribosomal RNA is filed under the name Vreelandella stevensii. Its description in RNAcentral is "partial 16S ribosomal RNA". It matches the Rfam family "Bacterial small subunit ribosomal RNA", at positions 338 to 795 of the family's 1533-position model. The record is from RNAcentral. Lineage: Bacteria; Pseudomonadati; Pseudomonadota; Gammaproteobacteria; Oceanospirillales; Halomonadaceae.